This 480-nucleotide ribosomal RNA is filed under the name uncultured bacterium. RNAcentral describes it as "partial 16S ribosomal RNA". It matches the Rfam family "Bacterial small subunit ribosomal RNA", at positions 28 to 507 of the family's 1533-position model. The record is from RNAcentral.
GACGAACGCUGGCGGCGCGCUUAACACAUGCAAGUCGAGCGAUGAAACUGUAACAGAACCCUUCGGGGCGAAGCUAAAGUGGAUUAGCGGCGGACGGGUGAGUAACACGUGAGUAACCUGCCUUAGACAUUGGGAUAGCCACGGGAAACCGGGAUUAAUACCAAAUAAAAUAAUAAUGACACAUGUCAUAUCGAUCAAAACUCCGGUGGUCUAAGAUGGACUUGCGUCCCAUUAACUAGUUGGUAGAGUAAAAGCCUACCAAGGCAACGAUGGGUAGCCGGCCUGAGAGGCUGAACGGCCACAUUGGAACUGAGAAGCGGUCCAAACUCCUAGGGGAGGCAGCAGUGGGGAAUAUUGCCCAAUGGAGUGAACUCAGAUGCAGCGACGCCGCGUGAACCAAGAAGUCUUUCGAGUCGUAAAGUUCUUUUAUAUGGCAAUAUAAUGACGGUACCAUAAGAAAAAGCCCCGGCUAACUUCGUG